Non-coding RNA from Cynoglossus semilaevis (tongue sole), 1403 nucleotides. NCBI's taxonomy places the organism in Eukaryota, Metazoa, Chordata, Actinopteri, Pleuronectiformes, Cynoglossidae. The record is from the annotation of a RefSeq genome assembly.
CCCUGGUGUGUUUGAUUGAGGACGUGGUUAAAGGAACAUUUCAAUCAUUUAAAUGGAAAAAGAGCAACGCAGAGCAGAGAAACUACAUGGAAAGUGACUUCAAAAAGUCUGGAGGGUUGUUUUCAGCCUUCAGUGUCCUGAAGGUCACAAACACAGAGUGGGACAAUAAUGAUGUUUAUACCUGUGAGGCACAGUACAACAACCAGUUAUAUGUGAAAAAGAUCUCAAAAGCUCCUUUCACAAUGACCCUGAACCAACCCAGUGCCAAAAGCAUUUUCAAUAAUAACCAAGCAAAGCUGGACUGUGUCAUCACUGGACAAGACUUGACCAUCAUAGGCAGCACUAACAUCACAUGGACGGUGGACGGUCAACCUGUCUCUGCCGAUGUGACUGAGACGACAAACUUCAAAGACGGACAGCACAUCAAAAACAGCACCAUGACCCGUGACCUCCCCGGGUGGCAGAAGGUCAAAACAGUGACAUGUUCUGCCUCCUUAGAAGACCGCACUCCAGUAAUUCAAGAUCUGACUGUCAACAGAGGAGAUGGGAGACCACCAGAGGUGAAAGUUCACAUCCUCCCAGAAGGAAGCAUUUCCUCGGCUGAGGUCACCAUGGUGUGUCUGGUCACCAGUGCUGUGCUGCAGGAUUACUACAUCACUUGGUCUGAACACGACGGCACAGGAGCCGGCAACUACGUCGAUGGCAUCAACUUCCUGCCACAGAAGACAAAGCAGGGCUACUUGGUGACCAGUGUUUACACCACCACCAAGGAGAAGUGGGAGAAGGAAAUUAUGUUUCACUGCAGCGUUUGGCCCGCUGGCAGCACCACCAAGUCCAUAGUAAUGGAUGGAGUGUCAAAAGCUUUGGAAAUAAACCAGAGUCUGGUUCUUAACGUCCCAGACAAUCCUCUAGAAGACAAUGUGGAGGAUGAACUCAGCAGUCUGUGGUCCACAGCUUGCUCCUUCAUAGUUCUCUUUAUAUCUUCUCUCUUCUAUAACAUAAUAUUCAGCUUUGUCAAGGUGAAGAGACGAUAGAACCAAACGGAUGUCUGACACAAAAUCCAUGUGUUUAUCUUUUUUGAAUUUUUUCUUUAUCAAAAAAUUGUUGAACGUUGAUUCAACUUCAAAUAAAAUAAGAGAAAUGUCAAAGAGUAGUUUAUUUCUUUUUCUAUUGUACAGAAAGAUAAAGCUGGUACUGCAGUACUUAUUCUUGUGAUGUAAUAAUGACAUUGCUGUGUGGAAUUAAUAAAAAAAUAAUAAAAUUGCAUGUUCCCUAGUUUUGCAAUCCUUAAUUUGAAAAUAAAAGAAAGUCUUUCUUCAUAUUUCUGGGUUCUUUUGUUCAGGAAUUCACUGUAUGGGAGAAAAUGUUCAGAGAGAAUAAAAAAAUUAUUAUUGUUUGAAUUU